This 719-nucleotide ribosomal RNA is filed under the name uncultured bacterium. Its description in RNAcentral is "bacterial SSU rRNA". It matches the Rfam family "Bacterial small subunit ribosomal RNA", at positions 136 to 851 of the family's 1533-position model. The record is from RNAcentral.
CAGCCGGAUAAUCGGGAGAAAUUCCGUCUAAUACGGCAUAAUGCAUCGACGGGACAUCCUGUUGGUGCCAAAGGUUGAUUCCGGUGGCGGAUGGGCAUGCGUCGCAUUAGUUAGUUGGCGGUGUAACGGACCACCAAGACGACGAUGCGUAGGGGUUCUGAGAGGAAGGUCCCCCACACUGGUACUGAGACACGGACCAGACUCCUACGGGAGGCAGCAGUGAGGAAUAUUGGUCAAUGGGCGGGAGCCUGAACCAGCCAAGUCGCGUGAGGGAUGACGGCCCUAUGGGUUGUAAACCUCUUUUGCCGGGGAGCAAAGUGCCGCACGUGUGCGGUUUGGAGAGUACCCGGAGAAAAAGCAUCGGCUAACUCCGUGCCAGCAGCCGCGGUAAUACGGAGGAUGCGAGCGUUAUCCGGAUUUAUUGGGUUUAAAGGGUGCGUAGGCGGACGCUUAAGUCAGCGGUAAAAUUGCGGGGCUCAACCUCGUCGAGCCGUUGAAACUGGGUGCCUUGAGUGGGCGAGAAGUACGCGGAAUGCGUGGUGUAGCGGUGAAAUGCAUAGAUAUCACGCAGAACUCCGAUUGCGAAGGCAGCGUACCGGCGCCCAACUGACGCUGAAGCACGAAGGCGUGGGUAUCGAACAGGAUUAGAUACCCUGGUAGUCCACGCAGUAAACGAUGAAUGCUAGUUGUCCGGGGCGAUUGAGUUCUGGGUGACACAG